UGCAAUGAACUCUUUCCUGCCAAUGUCUA
RNAcentral lists this non-coding RNA (29 nucleotides) under Mus musculus (house mouse). The record is from RNAcentral. Lineage: Eukaryota; Metazoa; Chordata; Mammalia; Rodentia; Muridae.